GAUGUCAUGAGUCCGCAGGUGCUGCUUUUCCGCUUUGCCGGCCAAGUAAAUGGAAGACACGGCAAUCAGUACAGAUCUCAAAGCAAGGCUUGUUGGACAAAUAAAUGAAGAUGAGCCCAAGAGCCCAGGAGAGGGACCGGGAACAGCAGGGCCUCCGUGACUCACACAAGCUUCAUCCCUGAACCAAGGAUGCAGCCUGCCAACAAUGGCCCCAAGCCACACCCCGCCACAGGGGGAACUGAUGCUGCGGUGAGAAGUGACAGCUUUCUGUUGACUUUUUUUUUUUAAACAGAAUAUGAAUUGAGACAUAAUUUCAUUUUCAUAAUCAGAACCUAACACUUAGUAACUAA
RNAcentral lists this non-coding RNA (350 nucleotides) under Pan troglodytes (chimpanzee). The record is from RNAcentral. Lineage: Eukaryota; Metazoa; Chordata; Mammalia; Primates; Hominidae.